This 117-nucleotide ribosomal RNA is filed under the name Sinocyclocheilus anshuiensis. Lineage: Eukaryota; Metazoa; Chordata; Actinopteri; Cypriniformes; Cyprinidae. The record is from RNAcentral.
GGCCACAACCAUAUCACCCUGCAGCCCAAGACUGGUUGCCCAUUAAAGCUAAGCAGGGUUGAGCCUGGUUAGUACCUGGAUGGGAGACCUCCUGGGAAAACUAGGUUGCUGUUGGAA